Molecule: ribosomal RNA, 164 nt
Filed under: uncultured bacterium
Lineage: Bacteria
Description: partial 16S ribosomal RNA
Rfam family: Bacterial small subunit ribosomal RNA
Source: RNAcentral
UAGGGAAUCUUCCACAAUGGGCGAAAGCCUGAUGGAGCAACGCCGCGUGUGUGAUGAAGGCUUUCGGGUCGUAAAGCACUGUUGUAUGGGAAGAACAGCUAGAAUAGGAAAUGAUUUUAGUUUGACGGUACCAUACCAGAAAGGAACGGCUAAAUACGUGUCAG